RNAcentral lists this long non-coding RNA (1398 nucleotides) under Gallus gallus (chicken). Its description in RNAcentral is "lncRNA (ENSGALG00010000556.1)". Lineage: Eukaryota; Metazoa; Chordata; Aves; Galliformes; Phasianidae. The record is from RNAcentral.
GCCGUGGGGGGCUGUAGGGGUGGCUCUUGGGGGCUGUGGGGGGUUACAGGAGGUAUGGAGCAGUAGGUAGGUGUGAGUGGAAAAUAGGGGAAUGUGGGGCAUUAAUUGGUCUUGCUAAUUCUUGACGGAGAAGGUGUGUUUAGCUGCCAAAGUUGGUGGCUCGAUAGCAUGUUCUGAAGCAUGUUCUGAAUGGUUUGGGGCCCUUCCCCUAUUACUCACGUCCUAAGGCAGUGAUGGGCUUCCCUUGCUCCGUAGGAACGGUUCCUGUGCAAGGGCAUGGCCGUCUGCCUGUAAGAGAUACUGAAGGGGAUGGCUGUGUGACUGCCGUGAUGGAGUUGGCUUUUGAAUGUCAAUUGCACCCCGUUAACGUGCAGCUCUUUCUGACCCAGGCAGGAGCCGGGCAGCGGUACUGCAGCUCGUCUGGCAGCUUUGCAGCUCAGUUGGGAAGUAGAAGAUGUGGCUGUGAAAGAAGAAGUCAGUUGCUGGGACGUCCCCCUGUUCUUCCCCUAGCUGUCCCCUUGCCUCAGCCUGGAUUCCCCUUGCAUUCCUGUAGGAUUCCCUUCCAUCCUCCUGGUUGUCCCUUGCUUUCCCCAAGGUUGCUCUUUCCUUUCCCAUGACAGCCCACCCAUCAUUCUCUCAAAGCCCCAAUAUCCACCCCAGUGUUUCCCCAGCAAGACCCCUAGAGACGCCCUGUAGCCCCCCACAGAGCACCAUACACCCUCUAGGACCUCCUCAGACCCGGUACGCCUCCCCUGUAGCUGGCCCAUACGCACACGGAGCCCCACAGUCCCCAGCAUCACCCCAUGUAACCCGCUGGCCUUCUUCAAGACCCCCGUGUUUCCUCUAUCUCCUCCUUCAGACCUCCUUUCCCACCUCCAAGACCCCAACCCCGGGAUCUCACCGAUUCCCACAGUCCCUGACAGGACCCCUGUCACCAUCCCAGGAACCCCAUAGCGCACGUGAGGCCCCUCCUCAGCCCCAUCCCCAUCAAGCUCUUGUACAGCCAUAGGGUGCUGGGGCAGGGGUGGCUGCUGCAGGAGAGGAAUGUGGGGCUGGAGCAGGUGCAGGGCACAGCUGUGGGUGAAAGGGAUGUGAGGGGCACUGUGGGUCCAGGAACGUAGGGGUUGUGGGGGCACGUGGGGAGCGGUUUGGGGUGAGAAUGGAGGAUGUGCGGUGGUGUUGGAGUGCACUGGUUGAUUUCUUCCUGGGAGGGGAUUGGGGUUCCCUUUGGCCCAAAGGUGGAGCCCUGAUCCAUAACCCCACGUGAGCCCCGAACGCCAUGUAACUCGGCGUGAGCCCAAGGCUCCACAUGACCCAUAACCCUGUGAGCACCGUAAGCCCAUAUGAGGCUGAGGGCAGUGAUGGGUCUGUUACUGGCUAGGUCAGGAAGUACUCUAG